GACGAACGCUGGCGGCGUGCUUAACACAUGCAAGUCGAACGGAAAGGCCCUGCUUUUGUGGGGUGCUCGAGUGGCGAACGGGUGAGUAACACGUGAGUAACCUGCCCUUGACUUUGGGAUAACUUCAGGAAACUGGGGCUAAUACCGGAUAGGAGCUCCUGCUGCAUGGUGGGGGUUGGAAAGUUUCGGCGGUUGGGGAUGGACUCGCGGCUUAUCAGCUUGUUGGUGGGGUAGUGGCUUACCAAGGCUUUGACGGGUAGCCGGCCUGAGAGGGUGACCGGCCACAUUGGGACUGAGAUACGGACCAGACUCCUACGGGAGGCAGCAGUGGGGAGUAUUGCACAAUGGGCGGAAGCCUGAUGCAGCAACGCCGCGUGCGGGAUGACGGCCUUCGGGUUGUAAACCGCUUUCGCCUGUGACGAAGCGUGAGUGACGGUAAUGGGUAAAGAAGCACCGGCUAACUACGUG
Molecule: ribosomal RNA, 468 nt
Filed under: uncultured bacterium
Lineage: Bacteria
Description: partial 16S ribosomal RNA
Rfam family: Bacterial small subunit ribosomal RNA
Source: RNAcentral